Molecule: ribosomal RNA, 253 nt
Filed under: uncultured bacterium
Lineage: Bacteria
Description: partial 16S ribosomal RNA
Rfam family: Bacterial small subunit ribosomal RNA
Source: RNAcentral
UACGGAGGGUGCAAGCGUUAUCCGGAUUCACUGGGUUUAAAGGGAGCGUAGGCGGUCCGACAAGUCAGGGGUGAAAUCCUGCAGCUUAACUGCAGAAGUGCCUUUGAUACUGUCGGUCUUGAGGGAGAUAGGGGUGUGCGGAACUCACAGUGGAGCGGUGAAAUGCGUUGAUAUUGUGAGGAACGCCGGAGGCGAAAGCGGCGCACUGGAUCUCUACUGACGCUGAGGCGCGAAAGCUAGGGGAGCAAACGGG